GGAGGACCCCGAUGCGGAGGCAGCUGACGAGCCCUUUACUGACGUAAGCUGAGUGCGGGUAUCGACAGGAUAGAUACGUGUAGUCGCACGUAACGAUGAUGCCCGCUGUCUGCGAUAUAUGUAUGCGCAAGCGAAAGCGUUAAGCAUCCCACUGGGAGUACGCGGCACGGUGAAACUCAAAAGGAAGUGGACGGGGGGCCCGCACAAGCCGCAGCACCAUGUCGCUUUAAUUCGAUGAUACGCAGAAGAAACGGUACCCGGGCUUGAACUGCAGGAGAACGAUCCAGAGAUGGUGAGGCCCUUCGGGGCUCCUGUGGAGGUGCUGCAUGGUUGUCGUCAGCUCGUGCCGUGAGGUGUCGGCUUAAGUGCCAUAACGAGCGCAACCCCUGCCUACAGUUGCCCAUCAGGUCAUGCUGGGCACUCUGUGGGGACUGAAAACAAGCAAAGUGCGAGGAAGGUGGGGAUGACGUCACAUCAGCACGGCCCUUACGUCCGGGGCUACACACGUGUUACAAUGGGUGGUACAGAGAGCAGGUCGUCUGCAAAUGCGAUCAAAUCCUUAAAGCCAUCCUCAGUUCGGAUUGGGGUCUGCAACCCGACCCCAUGAAGCUGGAUUCGCUAGUAAUCGGCGGCGAUCAGCCAUGGCGCGGUGAAUACGUUCCCGGGCCUUGUACACACCGCCCUAAUCUGA
RNAcentral lists this ribosomal RNA (691 nucleotides) under uncultured rumen bacterium. Its description in RNAcentral is "bacterial SSU rRNA". It matches the Rfam family "Bacterial small subunit ribosomal RNA", at positions 700 to 1404 of the family's 1533-position model. The record is from RNAcentral.